RNAcentral lists this transfer RNA (73 nucleotides) under Mycobacterium phage Myrna. It matches the Rfam family "tRNA". Rfam says of the family: Transfer RNA (tRNA) molecules are approximately 80 nucleotides in length. Their secondary structure includes four short double-helical elements and three loops (D, anti-codon, and T loops). The record is from Rfam by way of RNAcentral. Lineage: Duplodnaviria; Heunggongvirae; Uroviricota; Caudoviricetes.
GCCUCUGUAGCUCAGUGGAUAGAGCACCGAGUUUCUACCUCGGGUGCCGGGAGUUCGAUCCUCUCCAGGGGCA